UGAAAAAAGGGUAUAUUGUUGUGCCUUAGGCUCUCAUUUAUUUUAUUUAUUUACGUAUUGCUAUCAUUUCUUUAUUUAUUACUUGUUGAAUUGUGGAAAAAGAUAUGUUGGAAAACUUUGACACUUUAGAGCGUAUGUGUGAGAGUCCAAAGCGAACGCACCCUAUCGCGACUUCGAACUAAAAGCAAUGCUUCUAGGUUAGAAACACGUCAUGGUACGAAUUGGUUGGUGUAGUUUAUCGUUGUGAAGAAAAACAGAUUUGCGAUUACAUAAAACAUAUCCGGUAGUUUCUGGAAAAUGGAAAAGAGUGUCAACAAAAUAUCAGACGUAUCAUGGAGAUUCGGAGUAACUGCGGCGAGUAAUGAUUCCGACAACGUCGCCAAAUCGUUCUUGCAGCUCAAGUUACGUAUCGACAAUGACGGUAAAGUAAAGAACGUCUUCACUGAGAUGACAAUAGGACAGUUUUACAAAUUUCUACACGAUUUAGAAGAAGCAAAGUGUAAUCUAGAUUUGUUGGCGUAAGAAACAAUACGCAUGCACAUAUAGUAAAAUAUUGUGUUUAAUUAUUGUUGGAAGUAUUUUUCAAAUUACACAAAAUUGUCAUAUUUUUUGUAUAUAUUUCACAAUUUGCAUUUUAUUUAAAAAUAAAAUUAUUUAUUAUCUCUAAGACUUAAGAAAAUAACACAACUUGAUCUAUCCUUCUAUUGUAAUAAAAGAUAUUAAUACUUUAAUUUUCUUAAAUAACACAUUUGUAAAAAUUGAUAACUUAUCAGAUCUUGUUAAUAAUAGAGAACUUGAAAUAUACGCCUCUCAAUAUAACUUACUGGAUAAGUAAAUUAUAGUACAAUUAGCAUUAGGAUUUCUACAAAAAAAACCUUUACCUACAUCUAUAUUCU
Pseudomyrmex gracilis is the source of this 896-nucleotide long non-coding RNA. RefSeq lists it as uncharacterized. The record is from RefSeq and is a predicted model, not a curated record. Lineage: Eukaryota; Metazoa; Arthropoda; Insecta; Hymenoptera; Formicidae. The transcript has 3 exons.